RNAcentral lists this ribosomal RNA (468 nucleotides) under uncultured bacterium. RNAcentral's name for it is "partial 16S ribosomal RNA". It matches the Rfam family "Bacterial small subunit ribosomal RNA", at positions 28 to 507 of the family's 1533-position model. The record is from RNAcentral.
GACGAACGCUGGCGGCGUGCUUAACACAUGCAAGUCGAACGGAAAGGCCCUGCUUUUGUGGGGUGCUCGAGUGGCGAACGGGUGAGUAACACGUGAGUAACCUGCCCUUGACUUUGGGAUAACUUCAGGAAACUGGGGCUAAUACCGCAUAGGAGCUCCUGCUGCAUGGUGGGGGUUGGAAAGUUUCGGCGGUUGGGGCUGGACUCGCGGCUUAUCAGCUUGUUGGUGGGGUAGUGGCUUACCAAGGCUUUGACGGGUAGCCGGCCUGAGAGGGUGACCGGCCACAUUGGGACUGAGAUACGGCCCAGACGCCUACGGGAGGCAGCGGUGGGGAAUCUUACACAAUGGGCGGAAGCCUGAUGCAGCAACGCCGCGUGCGGGAUGACGGCCUUCGGGUUGUAAACCGCUUUCGCCUGUGACGAAGCGUGAGUGACGGUAAUGGGUAAAGAAGCACCGGCUAACUACGUG